GAUGAACGCUGGCGGCGUGCCUAAUACAUGCAAGUCGAGCGAACAGAUAAGGAGCUUGCUCCUUUGACGUUAGCGGCGGACGGGUGAGUAACACGUGGGUAACCUACCUAUAAGACUGGGAUAACUUCGGGAAACCGGAGCUAAUACCGGAUAAUAUUUCGAACCGCAUGGUUCGAUAGUGGAAGAUGGUUUUGCUAUCACUUAUAGAUGGACCCGCGCCGUAUUAGCUAGUUGGUAAGGUAACGGCUUACCAAGGCGACGAUACGUAGCCGACCUGAGAGGGUGAUCGGCCACACUGGAACUGAGACACGGUCCAGACUCCUACGGGAGGCAGCAGUAGGGAAUCUUCCGCAAUGGGCGAAAGCCUGACGGAGCAACGCCGCGUGAGUGAUGAAGGUCUUCGGAUCGUAAAACUCUGUUAUUAGGGAAGAACAUACGUGUAAGUAACUGUGCUCGUCUUGACGGUACCUAAUCAGAAAGCCACGGCUAACUACGUG
Molecule: ribosomal RNA, 497 nt
Filed under: uncultured bacterium
Lineage: Bacteria
Description: partial 16S ribosomal RNA
Rfam family: Bacterial small subunit ribosomal RNA
Source: RNAcentral